UACGUAGGUGGCAAGCGUUGUCCGGAUUUACUGGGCGUAAAGGGCGCGUAGGCGGCGCAGCAAGUCACUUGUGAAAUCUCCGGGCUUAACUCGGAACGGUCAAGUGAUACUGUUGUGCUAGAGUGCGGAAGGGGCAACUGGAAUUCUCGGUGUAGCGGUGAAAUGCGUAGAUAUCGAGAGGAACACCUGCGGCGAAGGCGGGUCUCUGGGCCGUAACUGACGCUGAGGAGCGAAAGCGUGGGGAGCGAACAGG
Molecule: ribosomal RNA, 253 nt
Filed under: uncultured bacterium
Lineage: Bacteria
Description: partial 16S ribosomal RNA
Rfam family: Bacterial small subunit ribosomal RNA
Source: RNAcentral